RNAcentral lists this transfer RNA (65 nucleotides) under Caudoviricetes sp. RNAcentral's name for it is "tRNA-OTHER". It matches the Rfam family "tRNA", at positions 10 to 71 of the family's 71-position model. Rfam says of the family: Transfer RNA (tRNA) molecules are approximately 80 nucleotides in length. Their secondary structure includes four short double-helical elements and three loops (D, anti-codon, and T loops). Lineage: Duplodnaviria; Heunggongvirae; Uroviricota; Caudoviricetes. The record is from RNAcentral.
GUUAUAUUGAGAAUUUCGGACUUUUAAUCCGUUGGUCGAGCGUUCGAAUCGCUCACGACCCACCA